AUAAGUAAGAUAAUUAAUUUAAAGCAUAAAAGAGUACAUUACAUGAUUAAGCAACACAGUGCCAACAGAAAUAUAGUUCGACAUUCAACUAAAAUUGAAUUUGGCAUUUGUUCAUAAAGAAUCAUGUAACUUCAAUUAGAUUUUGCGAACAUGAAUCAAUUUGGAUGAAAGUCUAUUAUCAAAUUUGAACCUAAUGGUAUCACCAUGUUUGUAUCCUUCUAUUUUACAAAAUUCUUUCCAUCCAGUUCCAAUUUUUGUACUAACUUUAGGAGGAUAUUGCAACAUACAUUACACAUUCAAUAUAUCACCAUUAAUAUGCGAUAUUGCCGACAUAUCUCCUGAUUUACCAAAGUUGCAAACUGAAUUGAAAGAUAAUUCCCUCCUUGGUUUUUUUUUUUAUCAAAUAAUUCCCUCCUUGGUUAGAUAAUUGCAUAUUUUAUCAUACAUUAAACAAAAGAUACCACCAUUAAUAUCUGCUUAGCAGAACUCCUUUUGGCAGGUGUUUUGUGAGAAGAAGCAGACAUGUCAUUCUCGGCAGAAGCGGAUACAUUUGGCUGCAAAUAAGCAUUGCAAAUUGCAAAUAAGUAAAGGUAUUAACGGUCAAUAUAACUAAUUCAAAAUAUAAAUAAAGAGAAUUGAAGUUAGAAUAGUAAACAUACUGUGGAUAGAAUAGAAUCAUCUAGCCAAUCCAACUUGUCGAUAUCAGAUUGGGUAAAAGCUUGAAAAUGUGUGGAAAGUGUAUUAUGGUAAGUGAGUUGGUAAAUAGCAAUGAAUUAAGAAAACGAUAUGAACUGAAUCACAAAGUAGAAAUGAUUAGUCAAAUUAACUAUGAAUGAUGACAUACCUGAAUUGGAAGUGAAUCAUUGAUUAGUGUUUUAAAUCCCAAAAAAAAAAAGAUUAAGUAAUGAAAGUUGUAUAACAGUAUGAAAUUUGUUACCUUAGUUGAUAAAGUGGCUGCUUUGUUGAAGUUGGCCCUCUUUCUUUGGAGCUGUUUCCAGAACAUCAUUUGCAAAAAAACAAAAAGGAUAAAAAACAAUGGGAAGAAACAAACAAUUAUACCAUAAUUAGAAACAUGAGCGUUGGAAGAAAACAUUGAUAUCAUUAGAUGAUAAAACUUCUGCUAACGCAAUGAAGAAAACAACGUGAAGCAAGCAUUGUGCGCGUUAAAACACUUAUUCACAUUUUUGCAAGAUGAAUAAUUUCAGGGUCAUUCCAAGUAACUCAUCAAGUGUAUUGUCCAAGUAUGAAAUUAGUGACCAAAAUGAUAAUAAUCAGUCUCAAAAGAGUAGUAAUAAUAAUAACAGAGUUUCAAAAUAUAAUUUUAAUCGUCGUAAAACAUACCAAAAGAUGAAAAAUCAGACCUUUUUAUCGUAAACGACGACAAUGAAAGAUUGUAAGCGUAAAACAUAGAUUUUAAGCGUUAAAGCUAGAAAACACAUAUUUUAAUCGUCGUAAAACUUACGAAAAUAUUUAAAAUUAGACUUUUUACCGUAAACGACGGCAAUGAAAGAUUGUAGCGUGAAAACAUAGAUUUUAAUCCGGUGUCCAUAUCAGUGUCUAUACUUAUAAUCAAUAUAAGGACAUAACUAAACAUUAAAAGGUAACAUUUGAGUUAAAGAUGUAGGUAAGAAAAAUGAUCAGUAGGACACAAUAAAGGAAGAGCUACCAAGAACUUGUAUGUAUCAUAGUUGGAUAUGAGAAAGAUAAUCAUAUUUUACCUUUUGUAACUCACUUUCUAUGGAAGAGCUACCAAGAUUCAACUUCAUAGACAUAAAUAAAAAAAUGUUAAUUUCAUAUUAGAGAAAAUAUUUAUAUAAAAACCUGCAUUAAAACCAAACUUUGGUUAAAUGUUGAACAAAAAUUCAUAUGAAAAACAACCUCCUUAUCUUCUUUAGUUUCAUUUGCGCAAGCUUCAUUCCCAAAAAAAAUGAAAAGUUAAAUUUUCAAGGUUUAAAAUGACAAAGGAAAGAAGAAUGAAUGAAAGGGAGAGAAAUAAACCUUACCUAGUAUUUGCAGAUUUUUUUCCAAAGAUAGAAUGAAUGGUUAGGUAAAUAUACCAUGNNNNNNNNNNNNNNNNNNNNNNNNNNNNNNNNNNNNNNNNNNNNNNNNNNNNNNNNNNNNNNNAUGGUGUGCAUAUAGAAAAUGAAAGUGAUGAGUAAAACAAAUAAACAAAACAGAAAAAUAAAAUAAAUAAAGAAGAACAACAACAACUAAAUUCAGGUUUGAUAACCAUUUUCUAAAUUCUGAUUCAAAAAUUGAAAAAUAACAAAGAAAGAAAAAUCAAAUACUUGGAAGGAAGAAUAAUGAUGAUUGUAGAGAAAAUCAAAUACCCAUGUAGUUCUUCUUCUUCUUUGAUGGAUCUUCUUCUUUCUCUCAUGUAGAACAAAACUUUGAUUUCUUCAACAAAAAUCAUAGAACAACUAAUAACAAAGCAGGAAAAAAUGAAGCAAAUAUCAGAGAACAACUAAUACAACAACCACAAAAAAAAAAUCAAGAAAUACUCGUCCAUACGAAAUUUCAAAAACGUACACGUUGAUAAUUUACAACCAAAGAACACGAUUUACAAAGAACAUUUUAUCAAACACAUGGUGUGCUUGUAU
RNAcentral lists this long non-coding RNA (2600 nucleotides) under Trifolium pratense (red clover). Its description in RNAcentral is "long non-coding RNA (TPRA_LNC004135)". Lineage: Eukaryota; Viridiplantae; Streptophyta; Magnoliopsida; Fabales; Fabaceae. The record is from RNAcentral.